This 507-nucleotide ribosomal RNA is filed under the name Triticum aestivum (bread wheat). Its description in RNAcentral is "partial small subunit ribosomal RNA". The record is from RNAcentral. Lineage: Eukaryota; Viridiplantae; Streptophyta; Magnoliopsida; Poales; Poaceae.
AUGCGACGUCGUCGACACCGUCGCCAACAAGUAUGGCUGGGACCCCGUCACGGAGGUCCGGGUCUGGCCGCUCAACACCGAGGGCGCGCUCGUCGGCGCCGUUCAGCGGUACGAGUUCCGCGCCGGUGCGGGGGCGCCGCGGUCGCGCUGGCACGGGCCUCUGACGAGGCCGUCAACUGGAGCCGCCCCGACGCCCCCGCGGUGGAGGAGGUGGUCUGGCCCGACGGGGUCGACUUCGUCGCCGGCGACGGCGCCCUGGCGUUCGGCACCGGCGUCAGGGACAUGGACAUAGUAGGCCCGUUCGAGCUGGUGGUCUCCGAUGGCGCUGGCGGGGGCCUCGCAGAGCUCCAGCUGCCGUCGUCACAAAAUAAAAAAGUCACUCCUCUCCCCGGGUACCACCCCCACCUCGCCCAGAUCUGCCGAUUGGGUGUCCUGUCUCCGGCGUUCUUGAGCACCAUUGGGUCGAGGAAGGAGAAGCCAUCCUAUGGACUAGAACAGUUUGUGUGA